GAUGAACGCUGGCGGCGUGCUUAACACAUGCAAGUCGAACGGGAAAUACUUUAUUGAAACUUCGGUCGAUUUAAUUUAUUUCUAGUGGCGGACGGGUGAGUAACGCGUAGGUAACCUGCCUUAUACCGGGGGAUAACAGCCAGAAAUGACUGCUAAUACCGCAUAAGCGCACAGAACCGCAUGGUUCGGUGUGAAAAACUCCGGUGGUAUAAGAUGGACCCGCGUUGGAUUAGCUAGUUGGCAGGGCAGCGGCCUACCAAGGCGACGAUCCAUAGCCGGCCUGAGAGGGUGAACGGCCACAUUGGGACUGAGACACGGCCCAGACUCCUACGGGAGGCAGCAGUGGGGAAUAUUGCACAAUGGGGGAAACCCUGAUGCAGCGACGCCGCGUGAAGGAAGAAGUAUCUCGGUAUGUAAACUUCUAUCAGCAGGGAAGAUAAUGACGGUACCUGACUAAGAAGCCCCGG
This 467-nucleotide ribosomal RNA is filed under the name uncultured bacterium. RNAcentral describes it as "bacterial SSU rRNA". It matches the Rfam family "Bacterial small subunit ribosomal RNA", at positions 28 to 496 of the family's 1533-position model. The record is from RNAcentral.